AGUCGAACGCGAAAGUUUCUUCGGAAAUGAGUAGAGUGGCGCACGGGUGAGUAACGCGUGGAUAAUCUACCUAUUGGUACGGGACAACAGUUGGAAACGACUGCUAAUACCGUAUAAGCUGGAAACGGGAAAGGGGGCCUCUUCUUGAAAGCUCUCGCCAGUAGAUGAGUCCGCGUUUCAUUAGCUAGACGGUGGGGUAACGGCCUACCGUGGCAACGAUGAAUAGCAGGCCUGAGAGGGUGGCCUGCCACACUGGGACUGGAACACGGCCCAGACUCCUACGGGAGGCAGCAGUGGGGAAUAUUGCGCAAUGGACGAAAGUCUGACGCAGCGACGCCGCGUGGAGGAUGAAGGUUUUCGGAUCGUAAACUCCUGUCAAGAGGGAAGAAACCUAUUAAGAAUAAUACUCUUAGUAAUUGACGGUACCUCUAGAGGAAGCACCGGCUAAUUCAGUGCCAGCAGCCGCGGUAAUACUGAAGGUGCAAGCGUUAAUCGGAAUCACUGGGCGUAAAGCGCUCGUAGGUGGCUUUGUAAGUCAGAUGUGAAAGCCCACGGCUCAACCGUGGAAUUGCAUUUGAUACUGCAUCGCUAGAGUAUAGGAGAGGGAAGUGGAAUUUCUGGUGUAGGAGUGAAAUCCGUAGAGAUCAGAAGGAACACCGGUGGCGAAGGCGACUUCCUGGACUAUUACUGACACUGAGGAGCGAAAGCGUGGGGAGCAAACA
RNAcentral lists this ribosomal RNA (722 nucleotides) under Desulfovibrio sp. AU810_Ted1_MB20NO3anaero. RNAcentral's name for it is "bacterial SSU rRNA". It matches the Rfam family "Bacterial small subunit ribosomal RNA", at positions 60 to 774 of the family's 1533-position model. Lineage: Bacteria; Pseudomonadati; Thermodesulfobacteriota; Desulfovibrionia; Desulfovibrionales; Desulfovibrionaceae. The record is from RNAcentral.